Molecule: ribosomal RNA, 254 nt
Filed under: uncultured bacterium
Lineage: Bacteria
Description: partial 16S ribosomal RNA
Rfam family: Bacterial small subunit ribosomal RNA
Source: RNAcentral
UACAGAGGUCUCAAGCGUUGUUCGGAUUCAUUGGGCGUAAAGGGUGUGUAGGUGGCGCGCUAAGUCGGGUGUGAAAUUUCGGAGCUUAACUCCGAAACUGCAUUCGAUACUGGCGUGCUUGAGGACUGGAGAGGAGACUGGAAUUUACGGUGUAGCAGUGAAAUGCGUAGAUAUCGUAAGGAAGACCAGUGGCGAAGGCGGGUCUCUGGACAGUUCCCUGACACUGAGACACGAAGGCCAGGGGAGCAAACGGG